UCAGAACUUAUUAGUCCUUGUGGCAAAAAGGUUAAGAAAGGCUUUAGUAGAGACAAUAUAUCUGUCGCACUAGGUUAUAGCUGGUUUCUAGAGAAAUAUAUCAAAGUAUAAGAGGGUAAACCACCCUACUUCCUGCUCAGGGGAUAACCUCUGAACAGAACUCAUUCUGUUGAGAUGAACCUUAACCCUAAUCUAGGCUUAAAAUCAGCCUUGAUAGUAAAGCAAGUUACAUUGUAAGGCUUAAUAAAGGAAUAAUCAUAAGUAAACAACUCUAGAGUAUCUAGAAAUUCUGACUAACACUCAUCAGAAGAUACUAUGCUAAGACGAGUAUAAGAGAGCACCCAUAUCAUGAUGACUCUCUUAAAGAACUAUGGGUAAGGAACUCGGCAAAGAGAAGCUCCGACUGUUUAUCAAAAACAUAGCCCUCUGGAAUUAUAGAGGGUAUUGCCUGCCCAGUGGCAAGUCUUAACGGCUGCAGUAUUUUGACUGUACAAAGGUAGCAUAAUCACUUGUCCCCUCAUUAGGGACUAGAAUCAAUGGCUAAACGAGAGCUUAGCUGUCUCACCCAUACUCCUAAAAACUUACCUUCAAGUGAAAAGGCUUGAAUCCCCUAAGAGGACAAGAAGACCCUAUGGAGCUUUAGAAGUGAAGCUCUGAAGCACUACUAUUCAUAAAAAGAGUGUAGAGCUUAGAACUUUGGUUGGGGCAACCGAGGUACAUCAGAACUACCUCUAGAAGAGCUGCUGAUAAGCACCUACUAAAGAACAAAGAUCCUCUUAUGAAGAUCAGGAGAAUAAGCUACCCUAGGGAUAACAGGGUUAUUCUCCCCAAGAGCUCCCAUCGAAGGGAGAGUUUGCCACCUCGAUGUUGGACUAGGACAUCCAGUAGGUGUAGCAGCUUAC
Molecule: ribosomal RNA, 902 nt
Filed under: Cristatella mucedo
Lineage: Eukaryota; Metazoa; Bryozoa; Phylactolaemata; Cristatellidae
Description: partial 16S ribosomal RNA
Rfam family: Bacterial large subunit ribosomal RNA
Source: RNAcentral